Molecule: long non-coding RNA, 3384 nt
Filed under: Triticum aestivum (bread wheat)
Lineage: Eukaryota; Viridiplantae; Streptophyta; Magnoliopsida; Poales; Poaceae
Description: long non-coding RNA (TAES_LNC025676)
Source: RNAcentral
GAGGUUUAAAUUUACAUCUUCACGCAAUUCUCACACUGUUUUAUUUGAUCUUUAUGAUAAAUCAUUGUGACAACCUCGAUUUGACCGUACACUAGUCAUACACGCAAAUGUGUACGAUCAAGAUCAAGGACUCACGGAAAGAUAUCACAACACAACUCUAGACACAAAAUAAAAUAAUACAAGCUUUAUAUUACAAGCCAGGGGCCUCGAGGGCUCGAAUACAUAAGCUCGAAUGCACAAGAGUCAGCGGAAGCAAUAAUAUCUGAGUACAGACAUACGUGAAGCAAGUUUGCCUUAAGAAGGCUAACACAAAAGUAGCAACGAUCGAAAAGGCGAGGCCUCCUCCCUGGGACCUCCUAACUACUCCUCGAAGCCGAACUCCAUGAAGAAACAUCCUCGGGAUCCUCUGACUCCUGAACUCCAUCAUAUGAUUGAAAUAACCGAGAAAAGGGGAAAAGAAGAAGAAGCAAAGCAACCGUGAGUACUUAUCCAAAGUACUCGCAAGAAAGGAUCUAGACUACAUAUGCAUUCGUAUCAAUGAAAUGGAUAGUAUCUGUGGACUGAACUGCAGAAUGCCAGAAUAAGAGGGGGAUAGCUAGUCCUAUCGAAGACUACGCUUCUGGCAGCCUUCAUCUUGAAGCAGUAGAAGAGAGUAGAUGGUAAGUUAACCAAAUAUCACCGUAUAUCAUAAUCCUACCCGGCGAUCCUCCCCUCGUCGCCCUGUGAGAGAGCGGUCACCGGGUGUAUCUGGCACUUUAAAGGGUGUGUUUUAUUAAGUAUCCGGUUCUAGUUGUCAUAAGGUCAAGGUACAACUCCGGGUCGCCCUUUUAUCGAGGGACACGGCUAUUCCAAUAGAUAAACUUCCCUACAGGGGUGCACCACAUUUCCCAACACGCUCGAUCCCCUUUGGCCGAACACACUUUUCUUGGUCAUGUCCGACCUCGGAAGAUCAACACGUCGCAGCCCUAUCUAGGCACAACAAAGAGGUCAACACGCCGGUCUAAAUCCUAUGGCGCAGGGGUCUGGGCCCAUCGCCCAUUACACACCUGCACGUUACGAACGCGGCCGGUAAGAAGACCUACCCUCCCUAAUACAAGAGCAGGCGUUUCAGUCCAAUCCGGCGCGCGCCGCUCAGUCGCUGAUGUCAAGAAGGCUUCGACUGAUACAACGACGUCGAGUGCCCAUAACUGUUCCUGCGUAGUUGGUUAGUGCGUAUAGGCCAAUGGCCAAACUCAGAUCAAAUACCAAGAUCUCGUUAAGCGUGUUAUUUUGAAGUAACCGCGAACGCCGACCAGGGUCAGGCCCACCUUUCUCCUAGGUGGUCUCGACCCGCCCUGUCGCCUCGCCACAAAGUAACAGUCGGGGGCCGUCGCGAACUCAGGCCCACCACUACCUGGAUGGAGCCACUUGUCCUUUCAGCCCCCACAUCGGAAUCACUUGCGGGUACUCUACGAGCCGACUCGACUUCACCACAUGUAUCACCUAUUAUGCAUAUAAGUAUAUACCAAUGAUCACCUCCCGAGUGAUCACGGACCGAUUGUAUAGCAUGGCAGACGAACAAGAAUGUAGGGCCACUGAUGAUAAACUAGCAUCCUAUACUAAGAAUUUAGGAUUGCAGGUAAGGUAUCAACAACUGUAGCAACAAUGACAGGCUAUGCAACAGAAUAUGAUUAACUGGAAACAAUAACAUGCUACACUACUCUAAUGCAAGUAGUAGAGAGAAGAAUAGGCGAUAUCGGGUUGAUCAGGGGGGGGGGCUUGCUUGGUUGCUCUGGCAAGGAGGGGUCAUCGGUGUCGUAGUCGUACUGGAUAGCAACGGCGUCGGUCUCGGUGUCUAAGGAGAUAAGAGGGGAAAGAAACAAUAAAUAUAAUACAAAUAAAUGCAUGACGAUGCAUGACAUGACAACGAGCGAUGCUAGGUGUGCCCUAACGCAGUGCUAGGUGAUACCGGCAAAGGGGAGGGGGAAACAUCCGGGAAUGUUUUCCCGGUGUUUCGCGUUUUCGGACAGAUGAACUGAAGGGAAAAAGUUGCAUGCCUGCUAUGCUAGGGGCGCGUGGCGGACAAACGAGCUGCGUAUUCGGAUUCGUCUCGUCGUUCUGAGCAACUUUCAUAUAUAAAACUUUUUCAUCGGAGUUAUGGUUUAUUUUAUAUGAUUUAGUGAAGUUUUAAAUGAUUUUCUAAUUUUUUGAAAUUAAUAUUAUUUUGAAAUAAAAGAAUAAAAUGCUAUGGAUACAUAGAGAGUGUACCCAGAGAGGUGCAUAUGUGGCUGACGGCAGGCCCAGUUGACUCAGUCAACAAUCCAGUCAAUAGCCAACUGUUUGAUUGUUGACUGGUCAAACUAUAGAUAGGUCCCACGUGUCAUUGGCACAAACACUUAAUUAGCAUUUUAUUUAUUUAAUCUCCUGGAUUAAUCUAACGGUUGGUCCUGCAUGUCAUAAGUUACUAGACUAAUUUAGCACUAAUUAAAGCUAAACCUGGUACUAUUCUAAACAAGGGCCGGCUAUUAGUGGGCAGAGCCCAGCCGGCCACACGCAUGGCACACUCACACAGCGGGCACACACACAUCACGCACGCACACACCAUAGCCAUGGCAGCAGCCGGGAGGGGCAGCGCAGCAGCAUGCAAAGCAGCAGCAGAAGUGCAGCGGGCAUCAACAGUACCACAGCAGCGGCAGGAGCAAGCAACGAGCAGCAGUAGACAGCGAGCAGCACAGAGGGGCAGCAAUAGCCGGCGAGGCAAGCAGCACGGCAGUAGCGCAGUAGCGGGGGCACGGCCCGGGCGUGCGUGACGACGCAGCACGCGCCGGUGGGCGCGGCCGGGGCGGCGGGGAGCUCGCGACGAGCGCGGCCGACCGAGGCAGGGAAGCGGCAGCGGCGAGCGACAGUAGGCACGGCGCGAGCGCGGGCGUGUGUGGGCGGACGAGCGCGUGCGUGGUCGCGUGCGACGGGCGACGGCAGGAGGAGCAACGCGAGCAGGGCCAGGAGUGGAUGUGCGCGGACGCGGAACUCCGGCCAUGGCGGCCUCGGGCGGGCAUGGGUCUACGACGACGGAUUGACAGUGGGACGAGGGGGAUAGGGAGGAGCAGCUUACUGUGAUGCCGAUGGUGAGGUCGGGGAGAGUCGGGGUUGACCGGAACGGCGGUAAUCGAUGACGGAUGACGACGACGUACAAACGAAGACUGCCUCGAUGGCGAGCGCACGGGCCACCUCGGCUCUGUUCCGUGCUCGGGACAGAUGAAGACGUCCGUGGCGGGCCUCCUGGACGUCCUCCCACACGAAGGCGACGACGGUGGUCGCGGUAAUGACGAUGACGAGCACGGUCACCGUGAGAGUUUCCAAGCUCGAAUUCGAGCGAAAGAAGGGGGCGACGGGGAAAGAGGGGGG